GUGGGGAAUAUACCGCAAUGGACGAAAGUCUGACGGAGCAACGCCGCGUGAGUGAUGAAGGUUUUCGGACUGUAAAGCUCUGUUGUUUGGGACGAAAGUGCCUGUUGCGAACAGUUACGGGUAUUGACGGUACUAAACGAGGAAGCCACGGCUAACUACGUGCCAGCAGCCGCGGUAAUACGUAGGUGGCAAGCGUUGUCCGGAAUUAUUGGGCGUAAAGAGCAUGUAGGCGGGAAUCUAAGUCUGUUGUUAAAAUGCGGGGCUCAACCCCGUAUUGCGAUGGAAACUGGGUUUCUUGAGUGCAGGAGAGGAAAGGGGAAUUCCCAGUGUAGCGGUGAAAUGCGUAGAUAUUGGGAGGAACACCAGUGGCGAAGGCGCCUUUCUGGACUGUGUCUGACGCUGAGAUGCGAAAGCCAGGGUAGCGAACGGGAUUAGAUACCCUGGUAGUCC
Molecule: ribosomal RNA, 450 nt
Filed under: uncultured bacterium
Lineage: Bacteria
Description: partial 16S ribosomal RNA
Rfam family: Bacterial small subunit ribosomal RNA
Source: RNAcentral